Molecule: ribosomal RNA, 460 nt
Filed under: uncultured bacterium
Lineage: Bacteria
Description: partial 16S ribosomal RNA
Rfam family: Bacterial small subunit ribosomal RNA
Source: RNAcentral
CCUACGGGUGGCAGCAGUGAGGAAUAUUGGUCAAUGGGCGUAAGCCUGAACCAGCCAAGUCGCGUGAGGGAUGAAGGUUCUAUGGAUCGUAAACCUCUUUUAUAAGGGAAUAAAGUGUGGGACGUGUCCUAUUUUGUAUGUACCUUAUGAAUAAGGAUCGGCUAACUCCGUGCCAGCAGCCGCGGUAAUACGGAGGAUCCGAGCGUUAUCCGGAUUUAUUGGGUUUAAAGGGUGCGUAGGCGGCCUGUUAAGUCAGCUGUGAAAGUUUGUGGCUCAACCAUAGAAUUGCCGUUGAAACUGGGGGGCUUGAGUAUGUUUGAGGCAGGCGGAAGGCGUGGUGUAGCGGUGAAAUGCUUAGAUAUCACGCAGAACCCCGAUUGCGAAGGCAGCCUGCCAAGCCAUGACUGACGCUGAUGCACGAAAGCGUGGGGAUCAAACAGGAUUAGAUACCCCAAUAGUA